CAGCCGCCGCGGGAAUACGUAGGGUGCAAGCGUUAAUCGGAAUUACUGGGCGUAAAGCGUGCGCAGGCGGUUAUAUAAGACAGAUGUGAAAUCCCCGGGCUCAACCUGGGAACUGCAUUUGUGACUGUAUAGCUAGAGUACGGCAGAGGGGGAUGGAAUUCCGCGUGUAGCAGUGAAAUGCGUAGAUAUGCAGAGGAACACCGAUGGCGAAGGCAAUCCCCUGGGCCUGUACUGACGCUCAUGCACGAAAGCGUGGGGAGCAAACAGGAUUAGAUACCCCGGUAGUCCCUGUCUCUUAUAC
RNAcentral lists this ribosomal RNA (301 nucleotides) under uncultured bacterium. RNAcentral's name for it is "partial 16S ribosomal RNA". It matches the Rfam family "Bacterial small subunit ribosomal RNA", at positions 509 to 807 of the family's 1533-position model. The record is from RNAcentral.